GUAAAAGUACACUUAGUAAGGUCAUUGAAAAGACUGGUAGCUCUAUGCCUAUUUUAGCAAGAUAUGUUGAUGAAAAUGAAAUUACACCACUUACUGCAGGUAUUGUUCCCAUUAACCUUAAAAGGCACCAUCAGCUUCAAAAUAUUGUUCUUCAUGACUUUGCUGGCCAAUCGCAAUACUAUUUAAGUCACACCGCUGUUAUUGAGAAUAUCCUACAAGGAUCUGCUGCUGUUUUCAUCAUUGUAGUUGACGUGUCCAACAGUGACUAUUUGAUACACCUUAAGCAAUGGCUAUCAGUUGUUAGGAAUGAAAUACAAAAAGCAAAAGAUGAUUGCAAAGUAAUUGUAGUUGCAAGCCAUGUUGAUUGUUUAAAUACUGAAGAAGAGAGAGGAAUGAUUAGACGAAAAAUUAAAAAGGAGUUGCUUAGAAAUGACGAUGUUAUUGUAUAUUUAGAUUGCCGUAGGCUUAAUGGUGCCGACAUAAAUUCAUUUCUCAAAAAUUUACAAAGUGCCUGUAGCUAUAUUCGUGAUAAUAAUAAAAAAUCGUUAACAUUGUAUUGCCACAUGAUGUACAAAUUACUUCAAGAAAAUGAAAAAGAUAUCUUAGCUUUAAAUGACAUCGCUCAUGAUGCAGCAACAAAAGUCGGUGAAUGUUUUCUUCCCACUCAUGAUGGUAAACAGAUCCUAUCUAUAUUGUCUUCAUUGCAUUCAACUGGUUUAAUUUACUAUCUCAAUUGUGAAGAUGACAACGAAGAAGUAUGGACAUCUGAUUCCAGUUGCAUUAAAACUCGUCAUAGCGGCAGGAUGUGGGUUGUUAAAAACAAGGAAGUACUAUUGAAACAUGUAGAUGGUGUCCUUUUUUCACCAUUUGAAGGAAGUAAAAUUCCUAAUAAUGGCAUCAUUACUGUUUCCAAACUUGAAAAAAUGUUCCCAGACUAUGAUUCUGUAAUGCUAAUUAGUUUCUUGGAAAGCAUGGGGCUAUGCCAUAUGGUUUCACCAUUUUUUUUGAUACAGACAAAUCUUGUGGAAAAAGGUCAAGAUAUUGGUCUAAAAGACAUACUUUGUCUUUUUUUUCCAUCAUCUGUGACCAUAGAAAGACCAAUUAUACCUCAUGAGUUUGUAUUUGGGUGGUACCUAAAAUGUACAAAUCUUCAUGAUUUAUUUCCACAACGGUUCUUCAAUUCUCUAUUAUUGCACUUUUCCAUGAAAUAUGCAGUUGAAGAAGCUUCCAGAACUAGACACAGUAAAUUUCAGUGUUUAUUUUGAAAGAACGGCAUAAAAUGGACUGAUAGCAAUGGCAUCACUACGUUGCUAGAACUUCUUGAUGAAAAUCAAUGUGUUUUAGUUUUAAUGUCAUGUGAAAAGGGGGCAAAAGAAUCUAAGAUGAUUAUGUUGAGAAGACGAUUGAUUGGCGAUGUUUUGGCUAUUCGUGGAAAAUUUUGUCCUACUCUUAAUACAGAAGCCUUUGUCAUUGAUCCUGAUAAUUUGAAAUACCCUAUUGAUAAACCAAGAACAAGAGUAGCGUAUUUUGUCGAAAACUUUAUAAAAUUGGGGAAACAGGAUUUCAUCAACCCAACACCAGAAACAUCAGAAUCACGUGGAAAGCAAGUUUGUGAUGUGCUGCCCAAUAAACCAAAUUAUGCUAAUCUUUCAAUAUUUGGUGGGGCUGAUCCAAAUGACAAGGCAGGGGCUAGAGGAAAUUUUCGUUAUCCAGGAAUAGCAUCUCAUAAUGUAAGAGGAGAGAAAAAAAGAGAACUGAACCUUAAAGAUUUGAAUUAUGUUAUUGACACACUGAAGCAAAAUCAUUUCCCUGAUCGUGACUG
RNAcentral lists this unclassified non-coding RNA (1822 nucleotides) under Amphimedon queenslandica. Its description in RNAcentral is "uncharacterized LOC109581375, transcript variant X2". Lineage: Eukaryota; Metazoa; Porifera; Demospongiae; Haplosclerida; Niphatidae. The record is from RNAcentral.